CAGGCAGGCUUCGCCCGGACUCCUACGGGAGCCGGACCUCGUCCCCGACUCCGACUGCAGGCAGGCUUCGUCCGGACUCCGACGGGAGCCGGACUCCACCCACGACUUCAAUUGCAGGUAGACUUCAUCCGAACUCCCACGAGAGCCGGACUUCAUCCCCGAUUUUGACUGUAGGAAGACUUCGUCCGGACUCCUACGGGAGUCGGACUUCGAGCUCCUCUUGCAAGCGACCCACUCUGAGUUACCGCUGCAAACGAACUACUUCAAGUUCCUA
Molecule: long non-coding RNA, 274 nt
Filed under: Elaeis guineensis (African oil palm)
Lineage: Eukaryota; Viridiplantae; Streptophyta; Magnoliopsida; Arecales; Arecaceae
Description: long non-coding RNA (EGUI_LNC049024)
Source: RNAcentral